Long non-coding RNA from Ictalurus punctatus (channel catfish), 1424 nucleotides. The record is from Ensembl. Lineage: Eukaryota; Metazoa; Chordata; Actinopteri; Siluriformes; Ictaluridae.
UGCGAGUGGGUUAGGGUUUGGCUAGGGUUACUAUAAUGCGAGUGUUAAGGUUUGGCUAUGGUUACUAUUAUGCUAGUGUUAUGGUUUGGCUAGGGUUACUAUAAUGCGAGUCUAAAGAUUUGGUUAGGAUUACUAUAAUGCGAGUGUUAGGGUUUGGCUAGCUUUGCUAUAAUGCGAGUGUUUGGGUUUGGCUAGGAUUACUAUAAUGCGAGUCUUAGUAUUUGGCAAGGGUUAGUAUAAUGCUAGUGUUAGGGGUUGACUAGGGAUACUAUAAUGCAAUGGUUAGGGUUUGGCUAGGGUUACUAUAAUGCAAGUGUUAGGGUUUGGCUAUGGUUACUAUUAUACGAAUGUUAGGGUUUGGCUAAGAUUACUAUAAUGCUAGUGUUAGAGUUUGGCCUGGGAUAGUAUUAUGCUUGCGUUGGGGUUGGGCUAGGUUUACGAUUAUGCUAGGGUUAGGAUUGGUCUAGGCUUACUAUUGUGUUAGAGUUAGGGUUGGGCUAGUGCUAGUAUAAUGCAAGUGUUAGGGUUGGGCUAGGGCUACUAUAAUGCAUGUGUUAGGGUUGGGCUAGGUUUACUAUUGUGCUAGGGUUACAGUUGGGCUAGUGUUACUAUUAUGCUAGUUUUAGGGUUGGGCUAGGGUUACUCUAAUCUUACUAUUAGGGUUGGGCUAGGGCUACUAUAAUGCAUGUGUUAGGGUUGGGCUAGGUUUACUAUUGUGCUAGGGUUACAGUUGGGCUAGUGUUACUAUUAUGCAAGUGUUAGGGUUAGGCUAGGGUUACUUUAAUGCGAGUGUUAGGGUUGGGCUAGGGUUACUAUAAUCCUAAUGUUAGGGUUGGGCUAGGGCUAGCAUAAUGCGAGUGUUAGGGUUUGGCUAGGGUUACUAUUAUGCUAGUAUUAGGGUUGGGCUAGGGUUACUUUAAUGCGAGUGUUAGGGUUGGGCUAGGGUUACUAUAAUCCUAAUGUUAGGGUUGGGCUAGGGCUAGCAUAAUGCGAGUGUUAGGGUUUGGCUAGGGUUACUAUUAUGCUAGUAUUAGGGUUGGGCUAGGGCUACCAUAAUGUGAGUGUUAGGGUUUGGCUAUGGUGACUAUAAUCCGAGUGUUAGGGUUUGGCUAUGGUGACUAUAAUGCGAGUUUUAGGGUUUGGCAAGGUUUAUUAUUAUGCUAACGUUACGGUUGGGCCAGGUUUACUAUUAUGCUGGGGUUAGUAUAAUGCGAGUGUUAGGGGUUGGGCUAGGGUUGCUAUUAUGUGCAUCUUAGGGUUGGGCUAGGGUUACUAUAAUGCUAGUGUUAGGAUUUUGCAAGGUUUGUUAUUAUGCUAACGUUAGGGUUGGGCUACUUUUACUAUUGUCCUAAAGUUAGGGUUACUAUGAUGCGAUUGUUAUGGUUUGGCUAGGGUUACUUUUAUGUGAGUUUUAGGGUUGGGCU